Molecule: long non-coding RNA, 666 nt
Filed under: Hordeum vulgare
Lineage: Eukaryota; Viridiplantae; Streptophyta; Magnoliopsida; Poales; Poaceae
Description: long non-coding RNA (HVUL_LNC001770)
Source: RNAcentral
CUUUUGAAGAGAGAAGAUACAAGUAAUGCGAAUUGAAGAGAUAGUGACGAUUUUGGGAUUGUAGCCGACACUGGAGUACCAUUUCUUUUAUAAAAGGGAUACAUCGGCUAAGAGAGGAUAUCGAUCAAAGAGGGCAAAGAACGAGAGUAGUGACAAUAUUCAGCAAAGCAAUAGAAUGGGGUGGUGAAAUGUUGGGUCACUGCUUGUUCCUCUAGCUAAUGGUCUCUAGGUUUAUGGAGUACUAGGCUUUGGAGGCAUUUGGAAUUUAGCUAUCCUGUGAGCGUUUCCUCCAACUAUGCAUGGCGUCGGUGGCAUGUAGAAGAUCAAACCAUACUACCCGAGUCUUGAUUGUCCAACUUGGAUAAAAGGUUACAAUUGUAUGGUACUGCUACAUGGCGUCUAACCAAGAAACACAGGUUGUCAUAUGUGACGAAGCGCUCUAUCCCAUUAGUACCGUUCACGUACUCACUUGCCAAAUUGGACUAGGAAAUAUUUGCCAUUGGCUUCAGCAAUGGAAUGAUACAAAAUCAGGAAACACUUUAUAUUUGUAGUAUGAUACAGGCCAAUAGACAGACCUGUCGACUGCCAUUGAUUCCCUUUAAAUCCCAUGGUCCCAACUUUGCUUGAUAUGAAAAAAAAUCCCGUCGAAGAGGAGCUAACCACCGC